GACGAACGCUGGCGGCGUGCCUAAUACAUGCAAGUAGAACGCUGAAGAGAGGAGCUUACUCUUCUUGGAUGAGUUGCGAACGGGUGAGUAACGCGUAGGUAACCUGCCUUGUAGCGGGGGAUAACUAUUGGAAACGAUAGCUAAUACCGCAUAACAAUGGAUGACACAUGUCAUUUAUUUGAAAGGGGCAAUUGCUCCACUACAAGAUGGACCUGCGUUGUAUUAGCUAGUAGGUGAGGUAAUGGCUCACCUAGGCGACGAUACAUAGCCGACCUGAGAGGGGAUCGGGCCACACGGGAACUAAGACAGGCCCCAGACCCUAACGGGAGGAGCAGGAGGGAAACCUCCGGAAAGGGGGCAACCCUGAACGGAGAACGCCGCGGGAAUGGAGAAGGGUUUCGGAUCAUAAAGCUCUGUUGUAAGUCAAGAACGGGUGUGAGAGUGGAAAGUUCACACUGUGACGGUAGCUUACCAGAAAGGGACGGCUAACUACGUG
This 496-nucleotide ribosomal RNA is filed under the name uncultured bacterium. RNAcentral's name for it is "partial 16S ribosomal RNA". It matches the Rfam family "Bacterial small subunit ribosomal RNA", at positions 28 to 507 of the family's 1533-position model. The record is from RNAcentral.